Molecule: long non-coding RNA, 286 nt
Organism: Bufo gargarizans (Asiatic toad)
Lineage: Eukaryota; Metazoa; Chordata; Amphibia; Anura; Bufonidae
Exons: 4
Source: RefSeq, a predicted model, not a curated record
GAAGCGGCAAGGUGCGGAGAGACAUGGCUGGGAGGACGGCUGACACCGGAGAGCGCUGGAGGCUGUUCAGAGUUCACGGAACAGAUCGGUUAGUGCUGAUGUACAAGCUGAUGUAUGUCAAAAAGGAAUCGCUCAUAUCGGUCACUAGUCGCAGAUUCUGGACGUGCUUGGAACCUGGUGUAGGUGCAUGAAGAGACGUAGGUAAUUGGAACCACCCUUUUUGGGGGUUUCUGAGAGCACAGUGUCUGUACGCCUGAUGAAGAGACUGGUGAUGUCUCGAAAGCUC